GAUGAACGCUGGCGGCGUGCCUAAUACAUGCAAGUCGAGCGAACGGACGAGAAGCUUGCUUCUCUGAUGUUAGCGGCGGACGGGUGAGUAACACGUGGAUAACCUACCUAUAAGACUGGGAUAACUUCGGGAAACCGGAGCUAAUACCGGAUAAUAUUUUGAACCGCAUGGUUCAAAAGUGAAAGACGGUCUUGCUGUCACUUAUAGAUGGAUCCGCGCUGCAUUAGCUAGUUGGUAAGGUAACGGCUUACCAAGGCAACGAUGCAUAGCCGACCUGAGAGGGUGAUCGGCCACACUGGAAGUGAGACACGGUCCAGACGCCUACGGGAGGCAGCAGUAGGGAAUCUUCCGCAAUGGGCGAAAGCCUGACGGAGCAACGCCGCGUGAGUGAUGAAGGUCUUCGGAUCGUAAAACUCUGUUAUUAGGGAAGAACAUAUGUGUAAGUAACUGUGCACAUCUUGACGGUACCUAAUCAGAAAGCCACGGCUAACUACGUG
RNAcentral lists this ribosomal RNA (497 nucleotides) under uncultured bacterium. RNAcentral describes it as "partial 16S ribosomal RNA". It matches the Rfam family "Bacterial small subunit ribosomal RNA", at positions 28 to 507 of the family's 1533-position model. The record is from RNAcentral.